UUAUUGUCAACUAUUUAUCAACUUACACAUGCAAGUCUCAGCAUCCCUGUGAGAACGCCCUUUUACCUCAUCAAGGAAAAGGAGCUGGUAUCAGGCACAGUAUCUCGCCCACAACACCUAGCUUUGCCACACCCCCAAGGGUACUCAGCAGUGAUUAACAUUGAUUAUGAGCGCCAGCUCGACUCAGUUAGAUAAAAUAGAGCCGGCUAAUCCGGUGCCAGCCGCCGCGGCUACACCAUCAGGCCCAAGCUGACAAUCAUUCGGCGUUAAGCGUGUUUAAAGUGUUUCCCCCCUAUUAAAAUUAAACUUAAACCAAGUCGUGGCACACUUGUUUAUAAAAAAGCCUCCAACGAAAGUUAUUCUAACCAAACCACUUGAAUCCACGACAGCUAGGAAACAAACUGGGAUUAAGUACCCCACUAUGCCUAACCGUAAAAUAUUUACUUACACCAAACCCGCCGGGGAAUUACUAGCUCUAGCUUAAAACCCAAAGGACUUGACGGUGUCCCACCCAUCUAGAGGAGCCUGUUCUAUAA
This 536-nucleotide ribosomal RNA is filed under the name Microhyla marmorata (marble pigmy frog). RNAcentral describes it as "partial small subunit ribosomal RNA". It matches the Rfam family "Bacterial small subunit ribosomal RNA", at positions 24 to 949 of the family's 1533-position model. Lineage: Eukaryota; Metazoa; Chordata; Amphibia; Anura; Microhylidae. The record is from RNAcentral.